This 425-nucleotide ribosomal RNA is filed under the name uncultured bacterium. Its description in RNAcentral is "partial 16S ribosomal RNA". It matches the Rfam family "Bacterial small subunit ribosomal RNA", at positions 354 to 796 of the family's 1533-position model. The record is from RNAcentral.
GUGGGGAAUAUUGGACAAUGGGCGCAAGCCUGAUCCAGCCAUGCCGCGUGAGUGAUGAAGGCCUUAGGGUUGUAAAGCUCUUUCAGUGGGGACGAUAAUGACGGUACCCACAGAAGAAGCCCCGGCUAACUUCGUGCCAGCAGCCGCGGUAAUACGAAGGGGGCUAGCGUUGUUCGGAUUUACUGGGCGUAAAGCGCACGUAGGCGGAUCGUUAAGUCGGGGGUGAAAUCCUGGAGCUCAACUCCAGAACUGCCUUCGAUACUGGCGAUCUUGAGUCCGGAAGAGGUGAGUGGAACUCCUAGUGUAGAGGUUGAAUUCGUAGAUAUUAGGAAGAACACCAGUGGCGAAGGCGGCUCACUGGUCCGGUACUGACGCUGAGGUGCGAAAGCGUUGGGAGCAAACAGGAUUAGAAACCCGAGUAGUCC